UACGGAGGGUGCAAGCGUUAAUCGGAAUUACUGGGCGUAAAGCGUGCGCAGGCGGUUUGUUAAGUCCGCUGUGAAAUCCCCGAGCUCAACUUGGGAAUUGCAGUGGAUACUGGCAAGCUGGAGUAUGGUAGAGGAAGGUGGAAUUCCCGGUGUAGCAGUGAAAUGCGUAGAUAUCAAGUGGAACACCAGUGGCGAAGGCGAGUCUCUGGACAUUUCCUGACGCUGAGGCACGAAAGCCAGGGGAGCAAACGGG
Molecule: ribosomal RNA, 253 nt
Filed under: uncultured bacterium
Lineage: Bacteria
Description: partial 16S ribosomal RNA
Rfam family: Bacterial small subunit ribosomal RNA
Source: RNAcentral